RNAcentral lists this ribosomal RNA (494 nucleotides) under uncultured bacterium. RNAcentral describes it as "bacterial SSU rRNA". It matches the Rfam family "Bacterial small subunit ribosomal RNA", at positions 8 to 526 of the family's 1533-position model. The record is from RNAcentral.
AGAGUUUGAUCCUGGCUCAGAGCGAACGCUGGCGGCAGGCUUAACACAUGCAAGUCGAGCGGGCGUAGCAAUACGUCAGCGGCAGACGGGUGAGUAACGCGUGGGAACGUACCUUUUGGUUCGGAACAACACAGGGAAACUUGUGCUAAUACCGGAUAAGCCCUUACGGGGAAAGAUUUAUCGCCGAAAGAUCGGCCCGCGUCUGAUUAGCUAGUUGGUGAGGUAAUGGCUCACCAAGGCGACGAUCCGUAGCUGGUGUGAGAGCACGACCAGUCACACGGGCACUGAGACACGGGCCCGACUCCUACGGGAGGCAGCAGUAAGGAAUAUUGGUCAAUGGACGCAAGUCUGAACCAGCCAUGCCGCGUGGAGGAUGAAGGUCCUCUGGAUUGUAAACUUCUUUUAUAUGGGACGAAAAAAGGCUUUUCCAAGUCGUCUGACGGUACCAUAUGAAUAAGCACCGGCUAACUCCGUGCCAGCAGCGGCGGUAAUUC